CGGGUGAGUAAUACAUCGGAACGUGUCUUCUAGUGGGGGAUAACUGCCCGAAAGGGCAGCUAAUACCGCAUGAGACCUGAGGGUGAAAGCGGGGGAUCGCAAGACCUCGCGCUGGAAGAGCGGCCGAUGUCCGAUUAGCUAGUUGGUGAGGUAAAGGCUCACCAAGGCGACGAUCGGUAGCUGGUCUGAGAGGACGACCAGCCACACUGGGACUGAGACACGCCCAG
RNAcentral lists this ribosomal RNA (227 nucleotides) under uncultured bacterium. RNAcentral's name for it is "partial 16S ribosomal RNA". It matches the Rfam family "Bacterial small subunit ribosomal RNA", at positions 103 to 334 of the family's 1533-position model. The record is from RNAcentral.